Molecule: long non-coding RNA, 314 nt
Filed under: Cricetulus griseus (Chinese hamster)
Lineage: Eukaryota; Metazoa; Chordata; Mammalia; Rodentia; Cricetidae
Description: lncRNA (ENSCGRG00015042964.1)
Source: RNAcentral
GAAGAAUUGUCUAAAAAUCUGCCAGUUAAUCAUGAGAGGAAAGUCCACAUGGAUUUGCUUCUGAAAGAAGUAGAUAUGGUUUUAGGGGAAGAAAUUGACUUUAAGGACAUAGACAAUGUUCUUAAAAACAUUGGGUUAAGACUCCACCUACAGGAAAACAAUGUAUUAAUGAAAGACUUGCCAAUUGAUGGUGAGUACUAACUCAGCCAGUAUGUAAUUUACCAGUGAGCUAUUUACUAACCCAGUGAAACUGAUUAGGUGCUAGUGUCACAAAAAUGAAUAAAACAAAGUCUAUAAUGUUUGGUUUAGGAAUA